Molecule: ribosomal RNA, 322 nt
Filed under: Acanthamoeba castellanii
Lineage: Eukaryota; Discosea; Longamoebia; Acanthamoebidae
Description: SSU rRNA
Rfam family: Eukaryotic small subunit ribosomal RNA
Source: RNAcentral
CCGAAUACAUUAGCAUGGGAUAAUGGAAUAGGACCCUGUCCUCCUAUUUUCAGUUGGUUUUGGCAGCGCGAGGACUAGGGUAAUGAUUAAUAGGGAUAGUUGGGGGCAUUAAUAUUUAAUUGUCAGAGGUGAAAUUCUUGGAUUUAUGAAAGAUUAACUUCUGCGAAAGCAUCUGCCAAGGAUGUUUUCAUUAAUCAAGAACGAAAGUUAGGGGAUCGAAGACGAUCAGAUACCGUCGUAGUCUUAACCAUAAACGAUGCCGACCAGCGAUUAGGAGACGUUGAAUACAAAACACCACCAUCGGUUGCGGUCNUCCUUGGCG